RNAcentral lists this ribosomal RNA (253 nucleotides) under uncultured bacterium. Its description in RNAcentral is "partial 16S ribosomal RNA". It matches the Rfam family "Bacterial small subunit ribosomal RNA", at positions 524 to 776 of the family's 1533-position model. The record is from RNAcentral.
UACGAAGGGGGCUAGCGUUGCUCGGAAUUACUGGGCGUAAAGGGCGCGUAGGCGGCACUGUUAGUCAGGCGUGAAAGUCCUGGGCUCAACCUGGGAACUGCGCUUGAUACGGCAGAGCUAGAGGAUGGAAGAGGCUCGCGGAAUUCCCAGUGUAGAGGUGAAAUUCGUAGAUAUUGGGAAGAACACCGAUGGUGAAGGCAGUCCCCUGGGCCAACACUGACGCUCAGGCACGAAAGCGUGGGGAGCAAACAGG